This 253-nucleotide ribosomal RNA is filed under the name uncultured bacterium. RNAcentral describes it as "partial 16S ribosomal RNA". It matches the Rfam family "Bacterial small subunit ribosomal RNA", at positions 524 to 776 of the family's 1533-position model. The record is from RNAcentral.
UACGUAGGGCGCAAGCGUUGUCCGGAAUUAUUGGGCGUAAAGAGCUCGUAGGUGGCUUGUCGCGUCUGUCGUGAGAACCCGGGGCUUAACCCUGGGCUGGCAGUGGAUACGGACAGACUAGAGGUAGGUAGGGGAGAAUGGAAUUCCCGGUGUAGCGGUGAAAUGCGCAGAUAUCGGGAGGAACACCGGUGGCGAAGGCGGUUCUCUGGGCCUUACCUGACGCUGAGGAGCGAAAGCGUGGGGAGCGAACAGG